AGCCCGCUCAGAAACUUAAAUGAAUUGACGGGGGCCCGCACAAGCGGUGGAGCAUGUGGUUUAAUUCGAUGAUACGCGAGGAACCUUACCUGGGCUCAAAUGUAUGUUGACGUAUUCUGAAAGGGAUACUUCUUCGGACAAUAUACAAGGUGCUGCAUGGUUGUCGUCAGCUCGUGCCGUGAGGUGUCGGGUUAAGUCCCAUAACGAGCGCAACCCCUAUCAUUAGUUGCCAUCAGGUCAAGCUGGGGACUCUAAUGAAACUGCCUACGCAAGUAGUGAGGAAGGUGGGGAUGACGUCAAAUCAGCACGGCCCUUACGUCCAGGGCUACACACGUGCUACAAUGGCCGGUACAAAGGGCAGCUACCUGGUGACAGGAUGCUAAUCUCAAAAGCCGGUCUCAGUUCGGAUCGGAGUCUGCAACCCGACUCCGUGGAGCUGGAAUCGCUAGUAAUCGCGCAUCAGCCAUGGCGCGGUGAAUACGUUCCCGGGCCUU
Molecule: ribosomal RNA, 494 nt
Filed under: uncultured Sphingobacteriales bacterium
Lineage: Bacteria; Pseudomonadati; Bacteroidota; Sphingobacteriia; Sphingobacteriales
Description: bacterial SSU rRNA
Rfam family: Bacterial small subunit ribosomal RNA
Source: RNAcentral